ACCUGCCCUAAGGUCCGGCAUAACCCCGGGAAACUGGGGAUAAUUCCGGAUAAAUCAUAGAUACUGGAAUGUUCUGUGGUUAAAAGCUCCGGUGCCUUAGGAUGGAUCUGCGGCCUAUCAGGUAGUAGUGGGUGUAAUGUACCUACUAGCCGACGACGGGUACGGGUUGUGAGAGCAAGAGCCCGGAGAUGGAUUCUGAGACAUGAAUCCAGGCCCUACGGGGCGCAGCAGGCGCGAAAUCUUUACAAUGCGGGAAACCGCGAUAAGGGGACACCGAGUGCCAGCAUAUUAUGUUGGCUGUCCAUAUGUAUAAAUAACAUGUGAUAGCAAGGGCCGGGCAAGACCGGUGCCAGCCGCCGCGGUAACACCGGCGGCCCGAGUGGUAAUCACUAUUAUUGGGUCUAAAGGGUCCGUAGCCGGUUUGAUCAGUCUUCCGGGAAAUCUGACAGCUUAACUGUUAGGCUUCUGGGGGAUACUGUCAGACUUGGAACCGGGAGAGGUAAGAGGUACUACAGGGGUAGGAGUGAAAUCUUGUAAUCCUUGUGGGACCACCAGUGGCGAAGGCGUCUUACCAGAACGGGUUCGACGGUGAGGGACGAAAGCUGGGGGCACGAACCGGAUUAGAUACCCGGGUAGUCCCAGCCGUAAACGAUGCUCGCUAGGUGUCUGGGAUGGUGCGACCGUUUCAGGUGCCGCAGGGAAGCCGUGAAGCGAGCCACCUGGGAAGUACGGCCGCAAGGCUGAAACUUAAAGGAAUUGGCGGGGGAGCACUACAACGGGUGGAGCCUGCGGUUA
Molecule: ribosomal RNA, 795 nt
Filed under: Methanolobus sp.
Lineage: Archaea; Methanobacteriati; Methanobacteriota; Methanomicrobia; Methanosarcinales; Methanosarcinaceae
Description: bacterial SSU rRNA
Rfam family: Archaeal small subunit ribosomal RNA
Source: RNAcentral